RNAcentral lists this ribosomal RNA (242 nucleotides) under uncultured bacterium. Its description in RNAcentral is "partial 16S ribosomal RNA". It matches the Rfam family "Bacterial small subunit ribosomal RNA", at positions 528 to 770 of the family's 1533-position model. The record is from RNAcentral.
GAGGAUGCGAGCGUUAUCCGGAUUUAUUGGGUUUAAAGGGUGCGUAGGCGGACUGUCAAGUCAGCGGUAAAAUUGAGAGGCUCAACCUCUUCGAGCCGUUGAAACUGAUUCACUUGAGUGAGCGAGAAGUAUGCGGAAUGCGUGGUGUAGCGGUGAACUGCAUAGAUAUCACGCAGAACUCCGAUUGCGAAGGCAGCAUACCGGCGCUCAACUGACGCUGAAGCACGAAAGCGUGGGGAUCA